UGCGUGAAGUUGGAAUCGCUAGUAAUCGCGGAUCAGCAUGCCGCGGUGAAUACGUUCCCGGGCCUUGUACACACCGCCCGUCACACCAUGAGAGUCGGGAACACCCGAAGUCCGUAGCCUAACCGCAAGGGGGCGCGGCCGAAGGUGGGUUCGAUAAUUGGGGUGAAGUCGUAACAAGGUAAC
RNAcentral lists this ribosomal RNA (183 nucleotides) under uncultured bacterium. Its description in RNAcentral is "partial 16S ribosomal RNA". It matches the Rfam family "Bacterial small subunit ribosomal RNA", at positions 1317 to 1500 of the family's 1533-position model. The record is from RNAcentral.